Long non-coding RNA from Alnus glutinosa, 1281 nucleotides. RefSeq lists it as uncharacterized. The transcript is spliced from 3 exons. NCBI's taxonomy places the organism in Eukaryota, Viridiplantae, Streptophyta, Magnoliopsida, Fagales, Betulaceae. The record is from RefSeq and is a predicted model, not a curated record.
UUGUCCCUCUGCAAAUCUCGCACCUCUCAGUGUAUUCACUGAGCUAUUCCAUCUUCCUUAAGGUAUUUCUUUCUUUUUCUUCAUUAUUCUUUUAUUCUUUUCUCGGCUGAAUCCGAGUGUGAAGAAAAGAUUGGGAGUCUGCGAGAGAUUAAGAGUGAGGGAGAGACUGACUAAGAGGGAGAGCUAAGAGAGAGAUUCAGAGAGAAGCAACAAAUUAAGUAAACAGAGAGUGAGACAGCGAGAGAUUAGAGAAGAGAGGGAGAGAAACAUAAUUGAGGGAGAUCAAACCCAUAACUGUGAACCAUCUAGUGAAGCCGAACCUUCAAAACCCAGCAGAUUUCCAGCUGAAACCCACGGCAACCAGAACCAGCCCGUGCAACCCGGUGAAACCAAGAGCAACCCAGCACCAUUCCAGCAAGCCGGCCUUCGGUGCUUGAACCCGUGGACUGUGACCAGCAGCUCGGCAGCAGCCAAAACCAGCCGAACCCCACGAACCACGCAGACCAUGCAGCUGGAACCGUGAACCACGACCCGUCAACCCAGCUGAGACCCGCGACCCAGAGAUACCGUAGCAGACCUGAGCAGAAUCCGUCGACGCCGGUGACCUGUGAGCCGUGGAGAACCGAAAGAGUGAAUCCGUGCGCAGAGCCGAGAUCAGAGAACCCAUAACCCAGAAAUGGGGCAAACCCGACUGAUCCGUGGACGGUGACCCGGAACCCGAAUCCCGUGAGCCCAUAUCCACGAAUCAACCAGACCCGGCCCACGAACCGACUUCAGUCCAGAACCGCAAGCCCAACCCGGCAGUGACUCCUAAACCGUGACACGAACCCGGAAACCCGACCCGCCGGCGACCCGUCUCCGGCAGACCUUUCCGGCGACUCUCCGGCGACUUCCAAAACUCACCAUUUUCACUGGAUUUUCUAGUGAAAAUCCUCAAUAUGAUGAAUUGAGACAGCACAAAAAAGACUAUGAUUGUGCAGGCACAGACACUGACGAAUAUCAGGAUUAUCAGGAGCCUUAUGAUGAUCCUGGUUUCAUAGAUGAGACUGUCUAAAGUCCCCUUUUUAUGAUAGACUUGCGGAACAGUUUAUCUUCCAUGUCGUAUUUAAGUUUUAUUUUAUGUACUUUCUAGACAUCUUAUGCUUUAUUUUAUGGUUUGUAAUAUGACUACCAUUACAUAGGACGUGAGCCGUGGUGGCCCUUAUGUUAUUGCUUUUGUGUGUAUUUGUUUGUAAGACCUUUUAUUAUUAUUUUAAUGUAAGUUGAGGUAUUUCAAUUAAA